AUACUUACCUGGAUAGGGUCAAUAGGAGAUGAAGAAGACUCAUGGCCUAGGGCAGUGACCUUUAUUGCACUUGAGAGGGAUUGGGGAGUUGCGUUUGCACGAUCCCUACUAAUCUUAAUUUAUAAUAUUCAUACUAAUCUUCUUUAGUUGAAUG
This is a small nuclear RNA of Hibiscus syriacus, 154 nucleotides long. RefSeq annotates it as U1 spliceosomal RNA. Lineage: Eukaryota; Viridiplantae; Streptophyta; Magnoliopsida; Malvales; Malvaceae. The record is from RefSeq and is a predicted model, not a curated record. The transcript has a single exon.